RNAcentral lists this ribosomal RNA (452 nucleotides) under uncultured bacterium. RNAcentral describes it as "bacterial SSU rRNA". It matches the Rfam family "Bacterial small subunit ribosomal RNA", at positions 10 to 507 of the family's 1533-position model. The record is from RNAcentral.
AGUUUGAUCCUGGCUCAAGAACGAACGCUGGCGGCAUGCCUAACACAUGCAAGUCGAACGAGACCUUCGGGUCUAGUGGCGCACGGGUGCGUAACGCGUGGGAAUCUGCCCUUGGGUUCGGAAUAACAGCGAGAAAUUGCUGCUAAUACCGGAUGAUGACGUAAGUCCAAAGAUUUAUCGCCCAAGGAUGAGCCCGCGUAGGAUUAGCUAGUUGGUGAGGUAAAGGCUCACCAAGGCGACGAUCCUUAGCUGGUCUGAGAGGAUGAUCAGCCACACUGGGACUGAGACACGGCCCAGACUCCUACGGGAGGCAGCAGUGGGGAAUAUUGGACAAUGGGCGAAAGCCUGAUCCAGCAAUGCCGCGUGAGUGAUGAAGGCCUUAGGGUUGUAAAGCUCUUUUACCCGGGAUGAUAAUGACAGUACCGGGAGAAUAAGCCCCGGCUAACUCCGUG